This 280-nucleotide unclassified non-coding RNA is filed under the name Hevea brasiliensis (rubber tree). Lineage: Eukaryota; Viridiplantae; Streptophyta; Magnoliopsida; Malpighiales; Euphorbiaceae. The record is from RNAcentral.
AAACUAAGAGGAGCGAAGUUGUAUACACAACGACAAAAUAAAUCAGAUGUAUUUCGAAUGAAACAAAAUAAAUAAACAUACGAUUCUGAAGAAAGCCGAAUAGAUUAGCAAACACACUAACUUUUAAGAGUCAUUAGAUUUUCCCAACAUGCAAAAGCCAUACCAAAUACAAACAGCAAAUAAUGAAACAUUCCAGAACGUGAAUAAAUUAACAUUCAGGGAUUUGCAUCAUGCUGAAGUAGCAAACAAACAGUAGCUCAAAUCACCAAAUUGACAACUA